GGCUAUAGCUCAGUGGCAGAGUGCUUGCCUAGCAUGCUUCAGGCACUGGGUUCGAUCCUCAAUACCA
This 67-nucleotide transfer RNA is filed under the name Marmota monax (woodchuck). RNAcentral's name for it is "tRNA.Ala". Lineage: Eukaryota; Metazoa; Chordata; Mammalia; Rodentia; Sciuridae. The record is from RNAcentral.